This 257-nucleotide ribosomal RNA is filed under the name uncultured bacterium. RNAcentral's name for it is "partial 16S ribosomal RNA". It matches the Rfam family "Bacterial small subunit ribosomal RNA", at positions 524 to 776 of the family's 1533-position model. The record is from RNAcentral.
UACGUAGGGUGCGAAGCGUUGUCCGGAAUUAUUGGGCGUAAAGGGCUCGUAGGCGGUUUUGUCGCGUCGGGAGUGAAAUCCACUGGCUUAAUUGGUGGCUUGCUUUCGAUACGGGCAGACUGGAGGUAUGCAGGGGAGAACGGAAUUCCUGGUGUAGCGGUGAAAAUGCGCAGAUAUCAGGAGGAACACCGGUGGCGAAGGCGGUUCUCUGGGCAUGUCCUGACGCUGAGGAGCGAAAAGUGUGGGGAGCGAACAGG